Molecule: ribosomal RNA, 508 nt
Filed under: uncultured bacterium
Lineage: Bacteria
Description: partial 16S ribosomal RNA
Rfam family: Bacterial small subunit ribosomal RNA
Source: RNAcentral
GACGAACGCUGGCGGCGUGCCUAAUACAUGCAAGUCGAACGCUUCUUUCCUCCCGAGUGCUUGCACUCAAUUGGAAAGAGGAGUGGCGGACGGGUGAGUAACACGUGGGUAACCUACCCAUCAGAGGGGGAUAACACUUGGAAACAGGUGCUAAUACCGCAUAACAGUUUAUGCCGCAUGGCAUAAGAGUGAAAGGAGCUUUCGGGUGUCGUUGAUGGAUGGACCCGCGGUGCAUUAGCUAGUUGGUGAGGUAACGGCUCACCAAGGCCACGAUGCAUAGCCGAGCUGAGAGGGUGAUCGGCCACACUGGGACUGAGAAACGGCCACGACUCCUACGGGAGGAAGCAGUAGGGAAUCUUCGGCAAUGGACGAAAGUCUGACCGAGCAACGCCGCGUGAGUGAAGAAGGUUUUCGGAGCGUAAAACUCUGUUGUUAGAGAAGAACAAGGACGUUAGUAACUGAACGUCCCCUGACGGUAUCUAACCAGAAAGCCACGGCUAACUACGUG